UACGGAAGGCAGCAGUGGGGAAUAUUGGACAAUGGGCGAAAGCCUGAUCCAGCCAUGCCGCAUGAGUGAAGAAGGCCUUCGGGUUGUAAAGCUCUUUUAGUGAGAAAGAUAAUGACGGUACUCACAGAAGAAGUCCUGGCUAACUCCGUGCCAGCAGCCGCGGUAAUACGGAGAGGGCUAGCGUUAAUCAGAAUUACUGGGCGUAAAGAGCACGUAGGUGGUUUUUUAAAGUCAGAUGUGAAAAUCCCUGGGCUUAACCUGGAACUGCAAUUUUGAAACUGAAAUACUAGAGUAUCGUAGAGGGAGGUAGAAUUCUAGGUGUAGCGGUGAAAUGCGUAGAUAUCUGGAGGAAUACCUGUGGCGAAAGCGGCCUCCUAAACGAAUACUGACACUGAGGGUGCGAAAAGCGUGGGGAGCAAACAGGGAUUAGAUACC
This 435-nucleotide ribosomal RNA is filed under the name uncultured bacterium. Its description in RNAcentral is "bacterial SSU rRNA". It matches the Rfam family "Bacterial small subunit ribosomal RNA", at positions 340 to 786 of the family's 1533-position model. The record is from RNAcentral.